UUAGCCUUUCGAAUGACUAGGAGGUGCAAACUAUUCUGCAACACCUUUUGGUUCAGACAAAGGCUUACAUCAAUUGAUCGGAUAUAAAAUUCCAUUACGGAAUCCGUUUGAGGGAGUCGAACGUUUUCUUCUUUGUUCCUCUUCCGGAUAGCUUCGGACAUUU
Cucurbita pepo subsp. pepo (vegetable marrow) is the source of this 163-nucleotide non-coding RNA. Lineage: Eukaryota; Viridiplantae; Streptophyta; Magnoliopsida; Cucurbitales; Cucurbitaceae. The record is from RefSeq and is a predicted model, not a curated record.